This is a non-coding RNA of Heterocephalus glaber (naked mole-rat), 1157 nucleotides long. NCBI's taxonomy places the organism in Eukaryota, Metazoa, Chordata, Mammalia, Rodentia, Bathyergidae. The record is from RefSeq and is a predicted model, not a curated record.
GAGGGAGAUGUUGAACUCCCGUAUGUACCCACUCAAGUGCUUCCCUACAGUUAGAAGUUCAGAUUCUUGGAGGAUUGGACCACUGCAAAGAGGAAUGAUGGUGUCAGAGGACAGCAGACAGCGAUGACGCCCAUGCCUUCUCUGGUACUAGAGACAAACGGGUGAAAAGAGAAAUUGUUAUACAGAAUUGCAAUGUGGAGGGAGGAGCACAACAGAAGAGUGAGAGAAGAUGAGGUAUAAGAAGUUGUCAGAACCACGUCACGUUGGGCUUUGGAGGUCUACAGUGUACUUUCGAUUUUAUUCUCUAUAAAAUGGACAUUCCCUAGAAGAAUUUUUUGCUGAGGAAGGUUAUGAUCUAGUUGGUGUUUCAAGAAAUACUAUAUAUAUGUAAUAUAAAGACCAGACUAUAGUGAAACUGACCUAGAGAAAGAUGUUUGGGAGGCUAAGGGAAUAGUACGGGCAAGAAAUCAUGAUGCUUUGUUUGUGUGCUUUCUUGGAGAGGCCAGAUUCUCGGUAAAUUUCAGAGGUAGGACCAACAAAAUUUUCUGAUUAUUUGCAUGUGGACUGUAAGGGGAAGAGAUAACAUGAUUCUGUUAGUUUUAUUUUGCACAAUUAGAAGAACAGAAGUUGCUAUUCCAUUGAGAGGGAGAAAUAUUACCAAGUAAGUAGUGACUUCCAGGUCUUCUCUAGUGAUACAACAGUUCUCGCAGGAGGUAAGUAAAAGCUCUUUCAAAAGAUUGAACUGGUUCAGUGCCUCCUUAUGAUGUUGGUGCUUGAGCAUUUUUCACACUUGUUAAUGAAAGCUCAGGUUGGCGGCAGAGAUAAAAAUGAUUGGUAGAGCUAUUAGGGUAAUACGCACAGGGGCUAAUGGCUGUCUUGGUUGACAGGCAGAAACAAUGACUACUACUCAGAUGGCUUUAGGGACUGGAAGUGGCUUAAAGAAAUGUCAGACUUAGCACAGCCUUAGAAAAUCCCAGACCUCACUCUCUUUAUGUUACCAGAGUGUCCUAGGAGAUUUUCCAACUGGUGGAAUUUUACAUCAGUACUUAAUGCUUAAAUGCUGAAAAUUAAAUUGAUCUUAAUUUCUUCUUAAUUUGUAGGACAGCUCUUGUUUAUUCAGUAACUUGGAGUAGAAAGGAGCAAACUAGGACCACUUA